RNAcentral lists this unclassified non-coding RNA (336 nucleotides) under soil metagenome. RNAcentral describes it as "partial contains 5.8S ribosomal RNA, internal transcribed spacer 2, and large subunit ribosomal RNA". The stretch from base 1 to 120 matches the Rfam family "5.8S ribosomal RNA", at positions 35 to 154 of the family's 154-position model. The record is from RNAcentral.
GAUGAAGAACGCAGCGAAAUGCGAUAAGUAAUGUGAAUUGCAGAAUUCAGUGAAUCAUCGAAUCUUUGAACGCACAUUGCGCCCGCCAGUAUUCUGGCGGGCAUGCCUGUUCGAGCGUCAUUUCAACCAUCAAGCCCCCGGCUUGUGUUGGGGACCUGCGGCUGCCGCAGGCCCUGAAAAGCAGUGGCGGGCUCGCUGUCACACCGAGCGUAGUAGAUCUCAUCUCGCUCAGGGCGUGCUGCGGGUUCCGGACGUCAAACCACCUUCAUAACCCAAGGUUGACCUCGGAUCAGGUAGGAAGACCCGCUGAACUUAAGCAUAUCAAUAAGCGGAGGA